UGGGGGUGCUCGAGUGGCGAACGGGUGAGUAACACGUGGGUGAUCUGCCCUGUACUUCGGGAUAAGCUUGGGAAACUGGGUCUAAUACCGGAUAGGACCAUGGUUUAGUGUCUCAUGGUGGAAAAAUUAUUGUUUUGGUGCAGGAUGAGCUCGCGGCCUAUCAGCUUGUUGGUGGGGUAAUGGCCUACCAAGGCGUCGACGGGUAGCCGGCCUGAGAGGGUGGACGGCCACAUUGGGACUGAGAUACGGCCCAGACUCCUACGGGAGGCAGCAGUGGGGAAUAUUGCACAAUGGGCGCAAGCCUGAUGCAGCGACGCCGCGUGGGGGAUGACGGCCUUCGGGUUGUAAACUCCUUUCGUUAGGGACGAAGCCACAUUUUUUUGGGUGUGGUGACGGUACCUUUGUUAAGAAGCACCGGCUAACUACGUGCCAGCAGCCGCGGUAAUACGUAGGGUGCGAGCGUUGUCCGGAAUUACUGGGCGUAAAGAGCUCGUAGGUGGUUUGUUGCGUCGUCUGUGAAAUUCCGGGGCUUAACUUCGGGGUGGCAGGCGAUACGGGCAUAACUAGAGUGCUGUAGGGGAGACUGGAAUUCCUGGUGUAGCGGUGGAAUGCGCAGAUAUCAGGAGGAACACCGAUGGCGAAGGCAGGUCUCUGGGCAGUAACUGACGCUGAGGAGCGAAAGCAUGGGGAGCGAACAGGAUUAGAUACCCUGGUAGUCCAUGCUGUAAACGGUGGGCGUUAGGUGUGGGG
RNAcentral lists this ribosomal RNA (750 nucleotides) under uncultured Corynebacterium sp. RNAcentral describes it as "bacterial SSU rRNA". It matches the Rfam family "Bacterial small subunit ribosomal RNA", at positions 82 to 827 of the family's 1533-position model. Lineage: Bacteria; Bacillati; Actinomycetota; Actinomycetes; Mycobacteriales; Corynebacteriaceae. The record is from RNAcentral.